Long non-coding RNA from Sinocyclocheilus anshuiensis, 120 nucleotides. RefSeq lists it as uncharacterized. The record is from RefSeq and is a predicted model, not a curated record. Lineage: Eukaryota; Metazoa; Chordata; Actinopteri; Cypriniformes; Cyprinidae. The transcript has 3 exons.
UCUGUCUUCAGCUGUAUUUUAGCCAAGCCCAGGCCCAGUUCUACAGGGGUUCAAAUGACAGCAAAAGCACCCUCACUUGAAGCUGUAAUAAUAGCAUACUAGCAAAAGAGAUCUGGCAAA